GGUGUUGAAGGCCCUGCAAAGCAGCAUCGCGGUGGCGGAGCGUCGUUUGCGACGCCCAACACACAAAACAAGCGGUGAGUGCUUUGGGGUGGGGUGACUGCGUACCUUUUGUAUAAUGGGUCAGCGACUUAUAUUCUGUAGCAAGGUUAACCGUAUAGGGGAGCCGGAGGGAAACCGAGUCUUAACCGGGCGUUAAGUUGCAGGGUAUAGACCCGAAACCCGGUGAUCUAGCCAUGGGCAGGUUGAAGGUUGGGUAACACUAACUGGAGGACCGAACCGACUAAUGUUGAAAAAUUAGCGGAUGACCUGUGGCUGGGGGUGAAAGGCCAAUCAAACCGGGAGAUAGCUGGUUCUCCCCGAAAGCUAUUUAGGUAGCGCCUCGUGAAUUCAUCUCCGGGGGUAGAGCACUGUUUCGGCUAGGGGGCCAUCCCGGCUUACCAACCCGAUGCAAACUGCGAAUACCGGAGAAUGUUAUCACGGGAGACACACGGCGGGUGCUAACGUCCGUCGUGAAGAGGGAAACAACCCAGACCGCCAGCUAAGGUCCCAAAGUCAUGGUUAAGUGGGAAACGAUGUGGGAAGGCCCAGACAGCCAGGAUGUUGGCUUAGAAGCAGCCAUCAUUUAAAGAAAGCGUAAUAGCUCACUGGUCGAGUCGGCCUGCGCGGAAGAUGUAACGGGGCUAAACCAUGCACCGAAGCUGCGGCAGCGAACGUAUCACUUAAAGCGAUUCAGCGGAUGACGAUUGACGGAGCGAAGCGACGUCAAAGCGUAUACAAAGUCGAGUCGGUUUAAGGAUACGUUCGUUGGGUAGGGGAGCGUUCUGUAAGCCUGCGAAGGUGGCCUUUGAGGGUUGCUGGAGGUAUCAGAAGUGCGAAUGCUGACAUAAGUAACGAUAAAGCGGGUGAAAAGCCCGCUCGCCGGAAGACCAAGGGUUCCUGUCCAACGUUAAUCGGGGCAGGGUGAGUCGACCCCUAAGGCGAGGCCGAAAGGCGUAGUCGAUGGGAAACGGGUUAAUAUUCCCGUACUUGGUGUUACUGCGAAGGGGGGACGGAGAAGGCUAUGUUGGCCGGGCGACGGUUGUCCCGGUUUAAGCGUGUAGGUGUGUGUUCCAGGUAAAUCCGGUUCACUUUAACACUGAGGCGUGAUGACGAGGCACUACGGUGCUGAAGCAACAAAUGCCCUGCUUCCAGGAAAAGCCUCUAAGCAUCAGGUAACAUCAAAUCGUACCCCAAACCGACACAGGUGGUCAGGUAGAGAAUACCAAGGCGCUUGAGAGAACUCGGGUGAAGGAACUAGGCAAAAUGGUGCCGUAACU
This 1316-nucleotide ribosomal RNA is filed under the name Salmonella enterica. RNAcentral describes it as "partial 23S ribosomal RNA". It matches the Rfam family "Bacterial large subunit ribosomal RNA", at positions 566 to 1735 of the family's 2925-position model. Lineage: Bacteria; Pseudomonadati; Pseudomonadota; Gammaproteobacteria; Enterobacterales; Enterobacteriaceae. The record is from RNAcentral.